GACGAACGCUGGCGGCGUGCUUAACACAUGCAAGUCGAACGGAAAGGCCCUGCUUUUGUGGGGUGCUCGAGUGGCGAACGGGUGAGUAACACGUGAGUAACCUGCCCUUGACUUUGGGAUAACUUCAGGAAACUGGGGCUAAUACCGGAUAGGAGCUCCUGCUGCAUGGUGGGGGUUGGAAAGUUUCGGCGGUUGGGGAUGGACUCGCGGCUUAUCAGCUUGUUGGUGGGGUAGUGGCUUACCAAGGCUUUGACGGGUAGCCGGCCUGAGAGGGUGACCGGCCACAUUGGGACUGAGAUACGGCCCAGACUCCUACGGGAGGCAGCAGUGGGGAAUAUUGCACAAUGGGCGGAAGCCUGAUGCAGCAACGCCGCGUGCGGGAUGACGGCCUUCGGGUUGUAAACCGCUUUCGCCUGUGACGAAGCGUGAGUGACGGUAAUGGGUAAAGAAGCACCGGCUAACUACGUGCCAGCAGCCGCGGUGAUACGUAGGGUGCGAGCGUUGUCCGGAUUUAUUGGGCGUAAAGGGCUCGCAGGUGGUUGAUCGCGUCGGAAGUGUAAUCUUGGGGCUUAACCCUGAGCGUGCUUUCGAUACGGGUUGACUUGAGGAAGGUAGGGGAGAAUGGAAUUCCUGGUGGAGCGGUGGAAUGCGCAGAUAUCAGGAGGAACACCAGUGGCGAAGGCGGUUCUCUGGGCCUUUCCUGACGCUGAGGAGCGAAAGCGUGGGGAGCGAACAGGCUUAGAUACCCUGGUAGUCCACGCUGUAAACGGUGGGUACUAGGUGUGGGGUCCAUUCCACGGGUUCCGUGCCGUAGCUAACGCUUUAAGUACCCCGCCUGGGGAGUACGGCCGCAAGGCUAAAACUCAAAGGAAUUGACGGGGCCCCGCACAAGCGGCGGAGCAUGCGGAUUAAUUCGAUGCAACGCGUAGAACCUUACCUGGGUUUGACAUGGAUCGGGAGCGCUCAGAGAUGGGUGUGCCUCUUUUGGGGUCGGUUCACAGGUGGUGCAUGGCUGUCGUCAGCCCGUGUCGUGAGAUGUUGGGUUAAGUCCCGCAACGAGCGCAACCCUUGUUCACUGUUGCCAGCACGUUAUGGUGGGGACUCAGUGGAGACCGCCGGGGUCAACUCGGAGGAAGGUGGGGAUGACGUCAAGUCAUCAUGCCCCUUAUGUCCAGGGCUUCACGCAUGCUACAAUGGCUGGUACAGAGAGUGGCGAGCCUGUGAGGGUGAGCGAAUCUCGGAAAGCCGGUCUCAGUUCGGAUUGGGGUCUGCAACUCGACCUCAUGAAGUCGGAGUCGCUAGUAAUCGCAGAUCAGCAACGCUGCGGUGAAUACGUUCCCGGG
This 1343-nucleotide ribosomal RNA is filed under the name uncultured bacterium. Its description in RNAcentral is "16S ribosomal RNA". It matches the Rfam family "Bacterial small subunit ribosomal RNA", at positions 28 to 1378 of the family's 1533-position model. The record is from RNAcentral.